CACGGGGGGAGCAAGCGUUGUUCGGAUUCAUUGGGCGUAAAGGGUGCGUAGGUGGCGGGGUAAGUCAGGUGUGAAAUCUCGAGGCUCAACCUCGAAACUGCACUUGAUACUGCCUUGCUCGAGUACUGGAGAGGAGAUUGGAAUUUACGGUGUAGCAGUGAAAUGCGUAGAUAUCGUAAGGAAGACCAGUGGCGAAGGCGAAUCUCUGAACAGUUACUGACACUGAGGCACGAAGGCCAGGGGAGCAAACGGG
Molecule: ribosomal RNA, 253 nt
Filed under: uncultured bacterium
Lineage: Bacteria
Description: partial 16S ribosomal RNA
Rfam family: Bacterial small subunit ribosomal RNA
Source: RNAcentral